AGGUCCAGCCUGCCCAGUGACUACGGGUUCAACGGCCGCGGUAUUUUGACCGUGCAAAGGUAGCGCAAUCACUUGUCUCUUAAAUAGAGACCUGUAUGAAUGGCUAGACGAGGGCUUAACUGUCUCCCCCCUCCAGUCAGUGAAAUUGAUCUAUCCGUGCAGAAGCGGGUAUAAUUAUACAAGACGAGAAGACCCUUUGGAGCUUAAGGUACAAAAUUUAACCACGUUAAACGACUCUGUAGAAAGCAAGAACUUAGUGGCGAAUGAAGUUUUACCUUCGGUUGGGGCGACCACGGAGGAGAAAGAAGCCUCCGAGUGGAAUGGGUUAAACCCCAAAGCUAAGAGAUACAUCUCUAAGCCGCAGGACAUCUGACCAAAAAUGAUCCGACUGAUAAAGCCGAUCAACGGACCAAGUUACCCUAGGGAUAACAGCGCAAUCCUCUCCCAGAGUCCAUAUCGACGAGGGGGUUUACGACCUCGAUGUUGGAUCAGGACAUCCUAAUGGUGCAGCCGCUAU
RNAcentral lists this ribosomal RNA (517 nucleotides) under Scardinius erythrophthalmus (rudd). RNAcentral's name for it is "partial 16S ribosomal RNA". It matches the Rfam family "Bacterial large subunit ribosomal RNA", at positions 1850 to 2565 of the family's 2925-position model. The record is from RNAcentral. Lineage: Eukaryota; Metazoa; Chordata; Actinopteri; Cypriniformes; Leuciscidae.